AGAACGAACGCUGGCGGCAUGCCUAAUACAUGCAAGUCGAACGAACACUUCGGUGUUAGUGGCGCACGGGUGCGUAACGCGUGGGAAUCUGCCCUUGGGUUCGGAAUAACAGUUGGAAACGACUGCUAAUACCGGAUGAUAUCGAAAGAUCAAAGAUUUAUCGCCCAGGGAUGAGCCCGCGUAGGAUUAGCUAGUUGGUGAGGUAAAGGCUCACCAAGGCGACGAUCCUUAGCUGGUCUGAGAGGAUGAUCAGCCACACUGGGACUGAGACACGGCCCAGACUCCUACGGGAGGCAGCAGUAGGGAAUAUUGGACAAGUGGGCGCAAGCCUGAUCCAGCAAUGCCGCGUGAGUGAUGAAGGCCUUAGGG
Molecule: ribosomal RNA, 369 nt
Filed under: uncultured soil bacterium
Lineage: Bacteria
Description: bacterial SSU rRNA
Rfam family: Bacterial small subunit ribosomal RNA
Source: RNAcentral